Mercurialis annua (annual mercury) is the source of this 1992-nucleotide RNA transcript. It is a transcript of the gene named zinc finger protein 10, with no coding region annotated. The transcript is spliced from 3 exons. The record is from RefSeq and is a predicted model, not a curated record. NCBI's taxonomy places the organism in Eukaryota, Viridiplantae, Streptophyta, Magnoliopsida, Malpighiales, Euphorbiaceae.
CUAGCCCUACCAUGAAGUAGUUACAGAAAGACAAACAAGUUAGAGUACCCACCAUUCACCAUUUUCUAAGCAAUCUUCUAAAUAAGACUUUCUCUUGUCUUUCUCUUCUUCAUCAAAUUCUCUCCUUCUACUAUCAAAUCAAAUCUCAAUCUUUCCAUGUAUUAAUGGAGCAAGCAAGAUGCUGGAUGUGGACUAAGCAAAACCCUAAUAGAUUGAGCAGUUCUCAUCUUCAAGCAUCAUCAUAUGAAGAUUCAUGGGAAGAACAAGCUUUUGCAGAAGAUGCAGCUGGUCCUUUAGGAGGUUGUAUAUGGCCACCAAGAUCUUAUUCUUGCAGCUUUUGUAAGAGAGAAUUUAGGUCUGCUCAAGCUCUUGGUGGUCAUAUGAAUGUCCAUAGAAGAGAUAGAGCAAGACUUAAACAAUCUCCACCUGAAAAUGAAAUUCUUCCUCUUCAAAAUCAUAGCAAUUUGUUUCAAAAUCCUUAUACUUCUUUGGGUUUUCCAUACCCAUCUCAUCAGAUUUGUUCUUUGGUUUGUAACCCUAACCCUAAUUCUGAUCCUACUUUUAGUAAGGUUUCAUCAAUCUCCCCUAUUCAAGAUAAUUGCCAUGAAAUGAAUUUCUUCCCUAGUUUUUCUGCUUCUACUACUAAAGAAGAAAACCAUAAGAGCUCUUAUAGAUCUCCGACUAUGGAUCGAUACUACGACGUUGUUUCGGAUCCUGAGAGUGAAAAAGAGAAGAAUUUGACAAUUCUAGAAUCAGGAUGUAGGGCUAAAGUGGAUAAUUAUGUCAAGACGGAUCUAUCUGUGAGUUUAAACUUAGUUGUUCGAAGAACUCGACCAACGAUAUCUAACGGUCAUGACGAACACGACGAUGAGGGCGCUAUAAGCUGCAAAAGAAGGAGAAUCAGUACUUCAUCAGUGCCCUUCUUCAUGAAGUCAAAUUUAUCAACUGAUAAACAUCAUGUCGGGUCAGAGUUAUUCGGAAUUAGUCCUUUCUCUAUAGAGGAAUUGGAUCUUGAACUCAGGCUUGGCGACAGGCCAAAGGUGUAAAGGGAAAAAAUGGGGAAAAGAAAACGAGAGCGAAGGGAGCGGGAAAGGCAAAGUGAAAGAGACAAGAGAUGGGAAAGGGGGUCAAAUAGUCGAGAUAACCCUUUACAGUGCCAUGAUACUGAUAGUGAAAGCAGUGACGAAGUAGUCGAAGUUUCACCAGGAGGGGGUAAAUUAUUCCAGAUUAAUUUACAUCACCAUGGGGAUCUUGGUGACUUGGCCUAUUAUGGUGGGGAAGUUCAAAGUAGGAUAUACCAUAUUGGUGAGAUUGAAAUGUCCGACCUUGACAAAUGGUGUAGGAGGCUAUACGGCGGAAAAGCCAUUGUUGAUUACCAUUGGUGUCCGAAGGGAAUCGAAUACCGGGUGGGAUAAAGGCGAUAAACCAUAAAGAUAUUCUCACACCAUUUAACUUUGGACGUAAAUUUGCAGUUUCUGUGGACAUGAAUGAUAGGGGUUUGCUUCUCCAAGAAGAACAAUCAGACAUUGUGUUUGUUCUGAACAACACAAAGUGCUCUUAUGGGAAUAUUAUAACAGUGUUUUGUCUCGGGCCAUUGUCAAACGGAAGAUGCCCUUAUGACAUCAAAGUGAAGUUUGAUGAAUCGUCAAUGCACAGGUUUCAUUCUUCUACCAAGAAUUUUCAAGACACCAACAAGUAUUACCGUUCAUUGACAGGAUUCCUUCUUGAUAGUAGCGACCAAGAGUUUUUUGCUGACGGGUUGAUCAAGAUGGAAAUUUCGGUAUAUCGAUCGUUGGAGCUUGGUUCUGCAGAUGAUGUUUAACGCUGCCCUUAGUCAAGAUGUUUUCUGGUUUUCUGUUGUAAUUUGAAAUAUUCUAGUAUAGGUUUUAUUUUUUUGCUUGAUGAAUAUUGUAAUAUGGUUGAUUAAUAUUAUAGUUGUAAUUCGUAGUUGUUUUAUUUUUGGAAAUUUUUAUAUAUUAUGGUUGAUUGAUA